Molecule: transfer RNA, 63 nt
Filed under: Neoorthocaulis floerkei
Lineage: Eukaryota; Viridiplantae; Streptophyta; Jungermanniopsida; Jungermanniales; Anastrophyllaceae
Description: partial tRNA-Phe
Source: RNAcentral
UGCCGGGAUAGCUCAGUUGGUAGAGCAGAGGACUGAAAAAUCCUCGUGUCAACCAGUUCAAAU